AGUAAGUAGAAAUCAAUAAGGUUACACAAAAGAGAAGUCUGGAAUGAAAUACCUCUGACUUUCAACACUCUUUAUUUAUAGGUGGAGUUUACAUCUAUUAUGGCUCAACUUCAUCUUCAUCCAUCUUUGCUUCAAUCAAUGAAACUUUAGAUUUCACUUAACUUAGCUACAACUUAAAAUCCUAGCUACCACCUAAAUUCUAGCCGCUACCUUAGUUACUUCUUUUUACCUUUUUAUUGCCCUUUGACCAUUAGCAACUUAUUUAAGAUAAUACUAACAUACUUUAUCAUAUCUAUAGUAAUACUUAUUUACUUCAAUACUCUCAUUUUGCUAUUGGUUGAAGGCUAUUAAUC
RNAcentral lists this long non-coding RNA (353 nucleotides) under Physcomitrium patens. RNAcentral describes it as "long non-coding RNA (PPAT_LNC002736)". Lineage: Eukaryota; Viridiplantae; Streptophyta; Bryopsida; Funariales; Funariaceae. The record is from RNAcentral.